UACGUAGGGUGCGAGCGUUGCCCGGAUUUAUUGGGCGUAAAGGGCGCGUAGGCGGCGUGACAAGUCACUUGUGAAAUCUCUGAGCUUAACUCAGAACGGCCAAGUGAAACUGUUGUGCUAGAGUGCGGAAGGGGCAAUCGGAAUUCUUGGUGUAGCGGUGAAAUGCGUAGAUAUCAAGAGGAACACCUGAGGUGAAGACGGGUUGCUGGGCCGACACUGACGCUGAUGCGCGAAAGCCAGGGGAGCAAACGGG
This 253-nucleotide ribosomal RNA is filed under the name uncultured bacterium. RNAcentral describes it as "partial 16S ribosomal RNA". It matches the Rfam family "Bacterial small subunit ribosomal RNA", at positions 524 to 776 of the family's 1533-position model. The record is from RNAcentral.